CCUGACCUGCAUUCGAUACGGUCGAGCUAGAGUGUGGUAGGGGAGACUGGAAUUCCUGGUGUAGCGGUGGAAUGCGCAGAUAUCAGGAGGAACACCGAUGGCGAAGGCAGGUCUCUGGGCCAUUACUGACACUGAGGAGCGAAAGCGUGGGGAGCGAACAGGAUUAGAUACCCUGGUAGUCCACGCCGUAAACGGUGGGCGCUAGUUGUGCGAACCUUCCACGGUUUGUGCGACGCAGCUAACGCAUUAAGCGCCCCGCCUGGGGAGUACGAUCGCAAGAUUAAAACUCAAAGGAAUUGACGGGGCCCCGCACAAGCAGCGGAGCAUGCGGCUUAAUUCGACGCAACGCGAAGAACCUUACCAAGGCUUGACAUAUACAGGAAUACGGCAGAGAUGUCGUAGCCGCAAGGUCUGUAUACAGGUGGUGCAUGGUUGUCGUCAGCUCGUGUCGUGAGAUGUUGGGUUAAGUCCCGCAACGAGCGCAACCCUCGUUCUGUGUUGCCAGCAUUUAGUUGGGGACUCACAGGAGACUGCCGGGGUUAACUCGGAGGAAGGUGGGGAUGACGUCAAAUCAUCAUGCCCCUUAUGUCUUGGGCUGCACGCAUGCUACAAUGGCUGGUACAAACGGCUGCAAUACCGCAAGGUGGAGCGAAUCCGAGAAAGCCAGUCUCAGUUCGGAUUGGGGUCUGCAACUCGACCCCAUGAAGUCGGAGUUGCUAGUAAUCGUAGAUCAGCAACGCUACGGUGAAUACGUUCCCGGGGCUUGUACACACCGCCCGUCACGUCACGAAAGUCGGUAACACCCAAAGUCAGUGGCCCAACCGUAAG
RNAcentral lists this ribosomal RNA (828 nucleotides) under uncultured Actinomycetes bacterium. RNAcentral's name for it is "bacterial SSU rRNA". It matches the Rfam family "Bacterial small subunit ribosomal RNA", at positions 615 to 1445 of the family's 1533-position model. Lineage: Bacteria; Bacillati; Actinomycetota; Actinomycetes. The record is from RNAcentral.